RNA transcript from Gorilla gorilla gorilla (western lowland gorilla), 716 nucleotides. RefSeq lists it as uncharacterized. The record is from RefSeq and is a predicted model, not a curated record. Lineage: Eukaryota; Metazoa; Chordata; Mammalia; Primates; Hominidae. The transcript has 3 exons.
UCUUUAUUUUCUAGGAGGAGCUCGCUGUUACCUGAAGGGAUGGACUGGUAGGUGGAAUGUCCGGUGCCGUGAGUUACCUGCUCAGCCCUGGAGCAGGGGUCAAAGCUGGGCGGAGCUGGACAGCCAGUCUCAGCCUCAGGUACUCCAGUGACAAGCAGCAGCAUCAGUGCUGAUGAGGGUAGCAGGGAAAACUGGUGAAAUGUGCCGAGGUCUCUCCAGAGGUGGUAGCCGGUUGCGCCAGCUUCACAUCCUGGAUAGGCAGGAACGUUUCCCUAUCAUACUCCUGUCCCGGGUCUCAUGUGUCUCAGUUCAAACAGACACUGCCGUCUAUCUUCAAGCUGCAAUGAAGCUGAGAGCCACAGAAAACACCUGUACCAUGGUUUCAGGGAGGAGUCUCUUCCCUCAGCCGAAAACAGACAGCUUUGCUGGUCAUCUGUUCUCCACUGCGAGGACGCUGCCACUCAGUGUGGAGAGAGGAAGGGGUUCUGCCUAUGGUGCAAGAAGGUCGGACUCGGCAGUUAAUACUCUUGGAUAAUGUAUUUAAGGAUGCUUAAGAAAUUGCAACAGCCAGUUCAACCUUCAGCAACCACCAAACUGAUCAGUAGUCAUCAACAUUGAGACAAGACUGUACACCAGCAAAAAGAUCCCAACUCAUUGAAGGCUCAAAUGAUUUUAGCAUUUUUUUUAGCAAUAAAGCAUUUUUAAAUUAAACUAUA